AUGCACGAUGCACCCCGGGCUGCUCUGACAGCAAUCCUGACUGAAGAUGACAGCCCCAAUGCACGUGCAAGAUCCUCGCCGUUCGUGUUGCAGUUUAGCUUGAUCCUAUUCCAUGGCUGAUCUGUGUCUAUUUCAACGGCCACAUCU
Molecule: non-coding RNA, 147 nt
Organism: Punica granatum (pomegranate)
Lineage: Eukaryota; Viridiplantae; Streptophyta; Magnoliopsida; Myrtales; Lythraceae
Source: Rfam